RNAcentral lists this unclassified non-coding RNA (594 nucleotides) under Hevea brasiliensis (rubber tree). Lineage: Eukaryota; Viridiplantae; Streptophyta; Magnoliopsida; Malpighiales; Euphorbiaceae. The record is from RNAcentral.
GUUAAAAAUAAAAGAAAAAUAUAAAAGGUUCUACACAUACACUUAUAAGUCCUUUAGAGUUUAUAAAUCAUAAAUUCUAAGCCUAAUAGAAUUCUAAAUUUCUUGGUUCUACAAUGAAUAUAAUUCCGAAGUUCCAACUUCUUAUUCAGCAUCACUUAGGCAUCAUAUCACGGUUCCCGUAGACAUCUACACCUAGUGUUGAAUUGCAUCGCACAAUCCAAUGAAGCUUAUAACUGCUGGGACUUUUAUUGGUCGCAAACUGAAUAGUAGGCAUUACAAAGCAUGAGUAUAUAUAGACUCAAAGUAACUGUAAACCUUUAAAACAUUGGACUCGAAAAACUGUUGAUAAUCCUCUGAGGAUUUGGACCCCCUAAGAAAACUAAAAAAAAUGUUCUCCUAAACAAAUAGUGGGCUAUUAAUGACAUCUAGACCAUUAAUGCGGAGAUUACAAAAAUGCAUGAGACAAAAUUGUAAAAUUUUAAACCAGUGGCACGCCCACACACACACAUAAAAGAGACUUUAAGGACCAGAAAAUAGUUAGUAAUGUCCUAAAUAAGCCCUAUAUGACAUUUGGACCAUAACUCUGUUUCCUGA